UCCUACGGGAGGCAGCAGUGGGGAAUAUUGGACAAUGGGGGCAACCCUGAUCCAGCCAUGCCGCGUGUGUGAAGAAGGCCCUCGGGUUGUAAAGCACUUUCAGCGAGGAAGAACGCCUAGCGGUUAAUACCCGCUAGGAAAGACAUCACUCGCAGAAGAAGCACCGGCUAACUCCGUGCCAGCAGCCGCGGUAAUACGGAGGGUGCAAGCGUUAAUCGGAAUUACUGGGCGUAAAGCGCGCGUAGGUGGCUUGAUAAGCCGGUUGUGAAAGCCCCGGGCUCAACCUGGGAACGGCAUCCGGAACUGUCAAGCUAGAGUGCAGGAGAGGAAGGUAGAAUUCCCGGUGUAGCGGUGAAAUGCGUAGAGAUCGGGAGGAAUACCAGUGGCGAAGGCGGCCUUCUGGACUGACACUGACACUGAGGUGCGAAAGCGGGGGUAGCAAACAGGAUUAGAUACCCUGGUAGUCCACGCCGUAAACGAUGUCGACCAGCCGUUGGGUGCCUAGCGCACUUUGUGGCGAAGUUAACGCGAUAAGUCGACCGCCUGGGGAGUACGGCCGCAAGGUUAAAACUCAAAUGAAUUGACGG
This 587-nucleotide ribosomal RNA is filed under the name uncultured bacterium. Its description in RNAcentral is "bacterial SSU rRNA". It matches the Rfam family "Bacterial small subunit ribosomal RNA", at positions 337 to 916 of the family's 1533-position model. The record is from RNAcentral.